RNAcentral lists this ribosomal RNA (253 nucleotides) under uncultured bacterium. RNAcentral describes it as "partial 16S ribosomal RNA". It matches the Rfam family "Bacterial small subunit ribosomal RNA", at positions 524 to 776 of the family's 1533-position model. The record is from RNAcentral.
UACGAAGGGGGCUAGCGUUGCUCGGAAUCACUGGGCGUAAAGGGUGCGUAGGCGGGUCUUUAAGUCAGGGGUGAAAUCCUGGAGCUCAACUCCAGAACUGCCUUUGAUACUGAGGAUCUUGAGUUCGGGAGAGGUGAGUGGAACUGCGAGUGUAGAGGUGAAAUUCGUAGAUAUUCGCAAGAACACCAGUGGCGAAGGCGGCUCACUGGCCCGAUACUGACGCUGAGGAGCGAAAGCAUGGGGAGCGAACAGG